GAUCCCGAUCCAGAGGGGAUUGAGGCUGGGAGUGGGCGGCGAUGGCUGAGGGCGGCCUCUCCCUAUCCAUCCUUCCUAUCUCUGUCGAGGCCAUGAGCUCAUCGGCCAGGCAUAGGCGCUCAUCGAUCUAAAAAAAAGGCACCAAACCACUCGAACCUCUCCCAUGUCCCUUUCUUCUCCAUCUUCCAAUAUCCUCUGUUAUGAAGUUCUAACAGUACAUCAAUCAAUGCAAGCAACUCUUUUCAGAUUAAUUAAGGAAUCAAUCUCCCAUGGUGGAUGCUUGAUGCAGCAGAGGGGGCCAGAAUGAAGUGCCGUCGUGGUGGUGCGCGGCUAGCGCACAACCCUCACCAUGGCUGUGGUUUCAGGCGCCUCCACACUGGCGUGGCUCCGGUGCCUCCGGCGGCUCCUCUCCGACGCCCACCGCGCCCACACACGCACCUUUUCUGUCUCUAAUAUCUGGUUUGAUCCUCCAUGGUAGAUGUGCAUGGCAAGGAUUGGAUGCUUGAGGCAGGAGGGGUCGACCUUGCCCUGCUGCAGCUCAGGACGCUCCACCCAUGGAGCUUUCUCCUUUCUGUCUUCAGUUGAUAAUUGCCAAUCAGAUCAGCUUAACUGACCACGCGAACAAUCAUUAAAUGAAUCGGUCAGCGGGGAGAUGUUUAAUCUAGGGGCAGAUUUUGUAUGGAUGACAACUUCUUAAUUAGAUUGGGCGCUUCCGGUGAGCCUAUCGGGCGUACAAACUACAUUCCUGCCCCAACUAUGCAGGCAAGUGAUCCUUAUCCUUCGAUUCACUUCUCUAAUUUCCAAUCCGAUGAAUUCAUCGACCAAGCCCCACAAAUCGGCUGAUGUCUGAUUUAUAAUGCAAUAAAAAAAUGUUUUGUAGUUCUAUUGACAAUCAUACUGUUGGCCAGAUUAUGAGCUGAAGGAAGGAGAUUUGUUCUCCAUCGCCCCAAGCAGCACCAUAAAAUAUUUGCAGUAGGGAUGCGCUCCCUGAAUUAACUAAUCAUCAAACACCGGACAACCAGUUCACUUCGAAUCCAAGUCACUUGGAUGUUUCUUGAAGGCUUUAGAGAUGUUUUUCCAUGUAACCUUAACUAACCUGACCUUCAUUGUGUGUACUGAGUAGAAGUAUGGCUUCAGGUAUGCUACAUUGCUACCCAGCAUAUAUAAAUUUGAAUAUGCAUGAAGUUUGCUAAAUCACACUUUGCAGCAGAAACUUUCAGAGAAAGGUAUUCUGCAAACGUAUAUGCAUGACUGCCCGGAUAUAUGGCACAAAUACGUUUUGCAUAUACUAAUAUAAUCUGUCUAAAUUUUUGACUAAUUUAAUAACCACCAGUUGCCAGUAAGUUCUAAAUAUCAAUACCAAUUGAAAUGCAUAUGCCGCUGCAGAUUCAACUCAAGAGUCUGCACUCAUGUAGGUAUGUCACUGAUUUAUCUCUAUACAUGGUUCAAUCUUCCUGUUACAGGCAAAUCUUAGUAAAAAAGGCCAUUGUUCUUCGGGACAGGUGAGAAAUAAUGUGUUCUUUUCAGAAGAGUAUAGAUGAAAAUGUGUUGAUGUAAAGUUUUCAGUUUGCAAAUGCUCAUGCCCUUAUAUGUGAUUUUGGAAAAAAAAAAGAGACCUGGGUGACUAGGUAAAAGUUUCUCUUGAAUUUGGUUUGUAGUUUGCUUGAAUAGGAGGUUUCGUCAAUUCGUGCACACGCAUUACAUAUAGCACAUAGUGUGUCAAUGUUACCAACAAAUGAUUUGUCAAAGUGAAAUAAUAAAUCAAGAGUGUCUCUUAUUUACAAAAAUAAUUAAGAUGAGCCAAAGGUAAAGGAUGGUGAGAGCUUAUUAAGAACCAUGUAUAUGUGUAGGAAAACUGGGAUGGACUAUCAAAGGUAAGAUGGUCCUCCAAGUGUUUUCGUAUCAAAGAAGCAACACUAACUUUGAUCAUUUAGUAAAGUACUUAAAUUAGGUCUGUUUGUCUUAUAUUGUACAGUAGCUAUUUCAAAAAAAUAUGAAGUGUAUAUAUAUAGGAAUGUCUACUGCUAUUUAGUCCUCCCAUGCAGUCUUUAGGUGUAUUAUUUUUUUCUGAUAAAAGAAGUUUGUUGAGAAAUCCUAAUAUAUGAUCAGUCUGGCUUUUUCUCUAUGCAAAAGAUGUUUGUACUGCAGACUGCAUCAAACUGACGCCAUACUAUUAUGUUGCUUCUUUUCCUCAACUUUUACAUUUUUCUAUGCUAUUUAUUGGUUCGUCCAUGAAAUUUGUAUGUGAUAUCUCAGAGACUUAUUUAUUUCAGUCUCUAUUACUGAACUGAUUGGUUUCA
Molecule: long non-coding RNA, 2300 nt
Organism: Triticum dicoccoides
Lineage: Eukaryota; Viridiplantae; Streptophyta; Magnoliopsida; Poales; Poaceae
Exons: 2
Source: RefSeq, a predicted model, not a curated record